Molecule: long non-coding RNA, 1641 nt
Organism: Lotus japonicus
Lineage: Eukaryota; Viridiplantae; Streptophyta; Magnoliopsida; Fabales; Fabaceae
Exons: 2
Source: RefSeq, a predicted model, not a curated record
UAAAAUUUGUGAAACUCAUUCAUUAACCUAAAACAUUUCUGCUUCAUCCUGUUCUCUCUUCAGCCGCAGCUUCCUCGCCGGUGGUGGUUGCAGUCGCGGCGGUUUACCUCCUGUCACAUGGGUUGUGGCUUCACUACCGCGAUUUUCUUCCACCACCGUGUUCCAGCUUCUGGGCCUCCUCAACCGAAGUAUCUCCUCGGCCUCAAACGAAUCAUCUGCUGCAAGGCCCCCUCCCCCGCCGCCGCAAGCAUUGUUUAUUCCGACCAGAAGCACUUCAAAUCCAAGUGCUCCUCUUUUUAUUCCGCUACAUUGCACCUAUCACAAAUUUUUCCUUCUUUUAGAUAAAAGACAAAGCAUAUUGCUUUAUGAUGUGUUUGUUUAGAUUUACAAUGUUUCUAAUUUUUUUUAGACAUUGUUUCUUCUAGAGUUUAUGGUGAGGAAGAACACGCAGGCCUUGUGAAUGAUAAAAGUUCACUUAUUUCACUUAUUGUUUCUGACCCAGAAAAUUCUCUAGAGAAUUGGAAAUCCAAGGGUGUUCAUGUUUGUGAUUGGUCUGGUAUCAAAUGCAACAAUGCCAGUGACAGGAUCAUAGAGAUUGAUCUCAGUGGAAGGUCACUAGGAGGCACCAUUUCCCCUGCUCUUGCUAACCUCUCUUCCUUGCAAAUUCUUGAUCUUUCUGGGAUUUUUUUGGUGGGUCACAUUCCAAAAGAGCUAGGAAAUUUAGUUCACCUUGAACAACUCAGUUUAUCAGGGAAUUUUCUUGAAGGAAGCAUUCCCUCUGAGUUUGGUUCACUUCACAACUUGUACUACCUUGACAUGGGAAGCAACCAUCUUGAGGGAGAGAUUCCCCCAUCACUUUUCCACAAUGUGACUUCAUUGAGUUACAUAGACCUUUCUAAUAACUCUUUUCCAUAUAUUUUUAAUUUAACUUCUUUUGCUGCCUCUUAAGGUUCCAAAGUAUUGUUAUUUUAGGUUCCAAAGUAAUUUCUUUUGCGGUGUGAUUUUGUCUGCAAGUGGUGAUAAUUAAUUAUUUUCUGCUGAUUGCUUGUGUUUGAUCUGAGAUAGUUUUUGAACUCCUCUACACAGCUUUCUCUAGAUCCUACUUGAAUUGCACAACUAUCAUGGUUUUGUUAGUUACCUUGGAGAAGCUGCCUUCCAGAAGGGGUGAAUGUUGUUUGUGCUUUUUGCAGGUCUGCUGAGGAAACAACUGAACACUUAUUAUUCGUGUGCCCUCAACUGUUAAUGCAAUUGUCCUUUCUGAACUCACAGUGUCAGUAUGAUCACCAUAUCUGAUACGGUUGGGGAUGGGAUCAACACAAAAGCAUUUCCGAAUGUCAUCUUCUACCUCAACUCAUGCAAAAUAUAUUCACUUUUACGAGUCAUACAAUGCCAUCAGAUUAAAGAGACUUCUCCUGGAAGGGGUGGUUAUGUUAUAAACAUCUUUAUUGAAGUUUUCCAUCUUGAUUGAAGUUUCAAGAUCGAAAGUGCAAAGCUAAUGCGUGAAAAUUAUUAUGUAGAAUAGGAAAGUUUCUAUUGAAUAUGAAUUAUGUACUCUUAUUGAAUACACACUAUUGAACUUCAGUAGUUACACAAUGAUGUAGCAAAAGUUUUGAUUGCAAUAAAAUGAGGCCUGAAAUCUAA